Molecule: unclassified non-coding RNA, 232 nt
Filed under: Hevea brasiliensis (rubber tree)
Lineage: Eukaryota; Viridiplantae; Streptophyta; Magnoliopsida; Malpighiales; Euphorbiaceae
Source: RNAcentral
AGUUCAACAGCUCCACUCAACCACUUUUAGAAAGCGGAGGGAAGAGUAGCAAAACUGAAAUGCUAUUGGAACUCAACAUAUCAGUUAAGAUUAAUGAUUCUUGUAGUCCUACGGAUAACAUUGCAACCCCUGAGCAUUCACUGCAGAAAACAAGUGCAUUGGAAGAUGCAGUUUCAACUAUUUUAGGUUACAAUAUGUUAAUAUGCCAAAUGCAGCCACAAGUAGUGCAUAU